RNAcentral lists this ribosomal RNA (253 nucleotides) under uncultured bacterium. RNAcentral describes it as "partial 16S ribosomal RNA". It matches the Rfam family "Bacterial small subunit ribosomal RNA", at positions 524 to 776 of the family's 1533-position model. The record is from RNAcentral.
UACGUAGGGGGCAAGCGUUGUCCGGAAUUAUUGGGCGUAAAGAGCGUGUAGGCGGUCCGGUAAGUCAGCUGUGAAAGUCAAGGGCUCAACCCUUGAAAGCCGGUUGAUACUGUCGGGCUAGAGUCCGGAAGAGGCGAGUGGAAUUCCCGGUGUAGCGGUGAAAUGCGCAGAUAUCGGGAGGAACACCAGUGGCGAAGGCGGCUCACUGGCCCGAUACUGACGCUGAGGCACGAAAGCGUGGGGAGCAAACAGG